Molecule: unclassified non-coding RNA, 402 nt
Filed under: Spizellomyces sp.
Lineage: Eukaryota; Fungi; Chytridiomycota; Chytridiomycetes; Spizellomycetales; Spizellomycetaceae
Description: partial internal transcribed spacer region
Rfam family: Eukaryotic small subunit ribosomal RNA (bases 1-46)
Source: RNAcentral
AAGUCGUAACAAGGUAACCGUAGGUGAACCUGCGGUUGGAUCAUUACAAAAAUGAGUUGUGCAGCAACUCUGCUGGUUGCUCUUCUGCCUUUUGGCAAAAGAUGUGGCCAGCAGAUGAUGCCAACAACCAAUACAACACCCUUGUGUGAACCGUUUUGUCUCUGGCAGUUGGACGGAUGCUGUUGGGUACUUCUUCCCGUGCGCCCAUGGGUUGCGGGGGUGAGAAAAUGUCCUUGCAGUGGCAUCCGUUUGUCAGCUUGGCUGUGCCCGAGCCGUGGACAAGCUGCCGCCCAUGAUCUUCAUGAUCUUUUUACAAACGCUGUGUUUCUUUUAUGUUUUUGAAGUGUCUGACAUGUACAUGAAAUGUGCAAACAACUUUUGGCAACGGAUCUCUUGGCUCUC